Molecule: long non-coding RNA, 811 nt
Organism: Sebastes umbrosus (honeycomb rockfish)
Lineage: Eukaryota; Metazoa; Chordata; Actinopteri; Perciformes; Sebastidae
Exons: 3
Source: RefSeq, a predicted model, not a curated record
ACUAAAGUCAGUCAAGCGACUGUUGGAGCACACUUCCUGGGCAGAGCGACAAUUACAGUGGCUGUCAGAGCAUCAAUGGGCCAUUAUAAAACGUUCUCUGUAACCCUCGCAUGAAGAGGAGUCAUGGAAAGGGAGUUCUGGUUUGGUCUUCAUUUCUACUUAAGAAAAGGUGGAAAAGAUGUAGCCUUUUAUUCUAUCUGGUUGUCUGGAGGCCUCACACAGAUUCCAAUAACCGAUGUGUAAGAGACCCCAGACAGAGCAGGGCCACAACAAAAGAACAAUUUGACUAGUCACCUCUCGAGGCCCCCAGGACAACAGCCUCCUGUCAACAUCACCAUUACGAUGAAACUCAGUGUGGUGCUGGGGAAGCGAGUGACGAGUGAAAGAUCUGGAGGCGGCCGGGAAGGAGAUGACGACAAAGUCCCAAGCCACAUUCUGAAUCAGACCCCCCCUCCUCUGGGAACUAACUUCUUGUGGACCUCCAGAGGCCCCAGACCCUGGCGCUGACGGAUAUCCAGGUGGUUGACCGUGAGGGAGGAAGGCCCCAUUAGCAGAUGGACGACGGACCCUGAAGCCGACAGGGUUAGUGUGAGGCGCGGCACAGCUGAAGGGAGCAACAGGGGCUGUCAUCAUCACCAUGACGGCCCAAAACGGCCCCCCAUCCCCAUGCUAAUUACUAUGAAACCAUAGGCAGAAAUACAAUGACAAGAUGUUGAUGCCAUGCUGUCCCAUUGUGUACCGGCCAUUUGUCUGUGUCAAGUUGUAUUUCACCAUGUAGUUUAAUGAAGUGUAUUUACACACAUAAAUAUGA